RNAcentral lists this ribosomal RNA (516 nucleotides) under Erysiphe cruciferarum. RNAcentral's name for it is "partial large subunit ribosomal RNA". It matches the Rfam family "Eukaryotic large subunit ribosomal RNA", at positions 12 to 530 of the family's 3401-position model. Lineage: Eukaryota; Fungi; Ascomycota; Leotiomycetes; Helotiales; Erysiphaceae. The record is from RNAcentral.
CAGGUAGGAAUACCCGCUGAACUUAAGCAUAUCNAUAAGCGGAGGAAAAGAAACCAACCGGGAUUACCUCAGUAACGGCGAGUGAAGCGGUAACAGCUCAAAUUUGAAAUCUGGCUCCUUUGGAGUCCGAGUUGUAAUUUGUAGAAGAUGCUUUGGGUUAUGGGUUCGGCCUAAGUUCCUUGGAACAGGACGUCAUAGAGGGUGAGAAUCCCGUAUGUGGCCGAGGCCCGCGCCUGUGUAAAGCUCUUUCAACGAGUCGAGUUGUUUGGGAAUGCAGCUCAAAAUGGGUGGUAAAUUUCAUCUAAAGCUAAAUAUGGGCCAGAGACCGAUAGCGCACAAGUAGAGUGAUCGAAAGAUGAAAAGCACUUUGGAAAGAGAGUUAAACAGUACGUGAAAUUGUUGAAAGGGAAGCGCUUGCACCCAGACUUGGGCGCUGCUGAUCACCUUGCGUUCUCCGCGAGUGCACUCGACAGCGCACAGGCCAGCAUCGGUUCGGGUGGCUGGAUAAAGGCCGUA